RNAcentral lists this ribosomal RNA (1337 nucleotides) under Mycobacterium sp. DWMJ-1162B2. Its description in RNAcentral is "bacterial SSU rRNA". It matches the Rfam family "Bacterial small subunit ribosomal RNA", at positions 78 to 1430 of the family's 1533-position model. The record is from RNAcentral. Lineage: Bacteria; Bacillati; Actinomycetota; Actinomycetes; Mycobacteriales; Mycobacteriaceae.
CUUCGGGGUACUCGAGUGGCGAACGGGUGAGUAACACGUGGGUGAUCUGCCCUGCACUUUGGGAUAAGCCUGGGAAACUGGGUCUAAUACCGAAUAGGACCACGCGCUUCAUGGUGUGUGGUGGAAAGCUUUUGCGGUGUGGGAUGGGCCCGCGGCCUAUCAGCUUGUUGGUGGGGUAAUGGCCUACCAAGGCGACGACGGGUAGCCGGCCUGAGAGGGUGACCGGCCACACUGGGACUGAGAUACGGCCCAGACUCCUACGGGAGGCAGCAGUGGGGAAUAUUGCACAAUGGGCGCAAGCCUGAUGCAGCGACGCCGCGUGAGGGAUGACGGCCUUCGGGUUGUAAACCUCUUUCAAUAGGGACGAAGCGCAAGUGACGGUACCUAUAGAAGAAGCACCGGCCAACUACGUGCCAGCAGCCGCGGUAAUACGUAGGGUGCGAGCGUUGUCCGGAAUUACUGGGCGUAAAGAGCUCGUAGGUGGUUUGUCGCGUUGUUCGUGAAAACUCACAGCUUAACUGUGGGCGUGCGGGCGAUACGGGCAGACUAGAGUACUGCAGGGGAGACUGGAAUUCCUGGUGUAGCGGUGGAAUGCGCAGAUAUCAGGAGGAACACCGGUGGCGAAGGCGGGUCUCUGGGCAGUAACUGACGCUGAGGAGCGAAAGCGUGGGGAGCGAACAGGAUUAGAUACCCUGGUAGUCCACGCCGUAAACGGUGGGUACUAGGUGUGGGUUCCUUCCUUGGGAUCCGUGCCGUAGCUAACGCAUUAAGUACCCCGCCUGGGGAGUACGGCCGCAAGGCUAAAACUCAAAGGAAUUGACGGGGGCCCGCACAAGCGGCGGAGCAUGUGGAUUAAUUCGAUGCAACGCGAAGAACCUUACCUGGGUUUGACAUGCACAGGACGCCGGCAGAGAUGUCGGUUCCCUUGUGGCCUGUGUGCAGGUGGUGCAUGGCUGUCGUCAGCUCGUGUCGUGAGAUGUUGGGUUAAGUCCCGCAACGAGCGCAACCCUUGUCCUAUGUUGCCAGCGGGUUAUGCCGGGGACUCGUAGGAGACUGCCGGGGGUCAACUCGGAGGAAGGUGGGGGAUGACGUCAAGUCAUCAUGCCCCUUAUGUCCAGGGCUUCACACAUGCUACAAUGGCCGGUACAAAGGGCUGCGAUGCCGUGAGGUGGAGCGAAUCCUUUUAAAGCCGGUCUCAGUUCGGAUCGGGGUCUGCAACUCGACCCCGAAGUCGGAGUCGCUAGUAAUCGCAGAUCAGCAACGCUGCGGUGAAUACGUUCCCGGGCCUUGUACACACCGCCCGUCACGUCAUGAAAGUCGGUAACACCCGAAGCCGG